Molecule: long non-coding RNA, 34298 nt
Filed under: Malus domestica (apple)
Lineage: Eukaryota; Viridiplantae; Streptophyta; Magnoliopsida; Rosales; Rosaceae
Description: long non-coding RNA (MDOM_LNC011426)
Source: RNAcentral
CUUAGUAAUGGGCUUUCUUUUCUUGUCAAGCUUCUCCUUCUUAGCCUUCACGCGCUGCUCCUCAGCCAAAAGAGACAUUCUCCUUGCGGUUUUAGCAUAAGGAUUCAACUUUAGCAAAGUGUUCAGGUUUUUGAGAGGGUUCUUUUUCAUCGGAGCCCUCUUGGCAUCCUUCUUGAUAGGCCUGACGACUGACUGAACCUCAUCAGAAUUUAUGAUCCUAGCCAAGUCAGCAUUCAACAUCUUCGACCUCGGCAGCACGUAUCCCUUCUUCUUCUCCGAGAGCUUGUCAAACGACCCGUAAAUCGAGUCGAGCUUCUCGAAAGCGGACUUGGUCCAGAUCACAAACCGACCCAAAUGCCCACCAGGAGCGAGCUUCAGCAGGUUGAGCCUCUCCACAUUGAUAAUCUCGACACCGGGGAGGUUCCUGAAAGCCUUCACCAGCUUAGCCCCUUCAGUUCCGUACACAAUCAGAGGUCCCUUGCGGUUGAUGUACCUCCUGUUCCUCAUCUUACCCUUUCCAGGGCGAAUCGCGUGGCUGUCCUUUGCCUUCUCGGCGUCGGCGUAAGCCCCAAUCUGCUUCAGAAGCUUCAGAGCAGCCGAAGUCUUCUCCACGCCCUCAGCCGAGUCGCUGACAACAAGAGGAAGCUCCGGAACGGUCUCGAUUUUGUGACCGCGGGCCAUGACCAGAGAGGGAACGGCAGAAGCCGCAAUCGCCGAAACGAUGGCGUAUCGCUUCUGGUUCACGUUGAUCCUUCGGUGCCAGCGGCGCCAGAUCUUGGUGGGAGCGAACAUGCGCCCGCCACGGCACAUGUUUCCGAAGGCUCCCUGCCCGGCGCGGUGGGUCCCGCCACCGGGAACACGAGGGAUACGCGAGACGGCGCGUCCAGUUCCCCAGGACUCGGCUGAGGUCUGGUGACCGGCCUUCUUGGAAACCGCGUAGGGCUGGCGGCUGUUGUUCGACAUUUGGGAGUGGACGGCUGUGACGACGUCGGGGCGGAUCGGCACCUUCAUGACGUCGGGUAAGGCGACGGUCUGGCACUGAUCGGUGGCCAUGUCGCCGUCAAGGGUUUGGACAGUGACGAGGGGGCGAGCGGCGGCGGCCAUUUCUAAGAGUGCGUGGAGUGUGAGAGAUGCGGUGUGAGGGUUUAGGGUUGUGACAAAUGAGUUUAAACUUGAUUUUAUACCUAAAAUGUUUUGGGCCGUAGGGUUUUUUCAGGGUUGGACGCCCCUUUUUCUUUUUUUCUUUUUUGUUCUAAUUUUUUGGUAAUUUCGAAAAUAAAAUUAAGGUAAUUUGAAUUUCUUACAUAUUUUUUUGGGUCAAUAAAUUAUAUUCUUACAUUCAAUUCUGUAUUCUUCUUAUUUUGUGAAAUGCUAAAAAAUUGUUGAAUAUUAUCAAUUUUUGUUAAAAAAAUAAAUAAUUUUCUUUGAAGUUAUAGCAUAUAAUGGGCCAGAUCAGGUAGGCUAGAGCAGUUGGGCCUCAUAAUGUUUGUGGGCCUUGUGACAUAUGAUAGGAAAAAUAAGAAAAUUGUAGCAAUGGUCUAUCAACUAAAAAUUCAAAAUCAUUGGUCCCUUAACUCAACAAAAUGUAUAGCUAUGGUCAUUUUCGUCAACUUCACUAAAACUUCUAUUAAAAUAAGUCACAUGCCACGCACGUGAAAUCAGAAUUAAGGGGCAAAUAUGGGAAACUAAUUGUUGAAAUGGUCCUUCCAACUUUAAUACAAUUGAAGAAAUGGUCCCUUAACCUUAAUCCAAUUGCAGCAAUGGUUUUACAACUUUAACUCAAUUGUAGCAAUGAUUCUUCCAACAUGACUCGUUUUGACGAAAGUCCUGACGAAUCUGACGAAAUUGAUCAUGACUGCACAUUUUGAGGAGUUCAAGGACCAUUAGUCAUGAAUUUUUAGUUGAUGAACUAUUGCUCCAAUUUGGUUAAAAUUGAGGAACCAUUGCUACAAUUUCCUCUAUAAACAAACACAAUUUGAAAUAAAAAAAAAAUUAAAUAACCCUGUUAUUUUCUUGAUGAGGUCUUGAUAUUGAAAAUAUUGACCAAAGGCAUUCUUAAUGUUGAAAUGACCAUUUGAUUGAUAUGAUAUUACCUCUAAUGCAUUAGGGAUUUUGAAGAGAAUGCGACACUGGAGAAGAUCAAUGGUACCAUUAUUUUGAUACAACGAUGUUGAAGGGGAAGGAAUUUAACUCAAGACAUCACGUCAGACUGAUAAAUGCUAUUAGCGAGCUCAGCUUCAAGAAUUUGGAUUCUCCGUUGUCGUAGUUAAAUUUGUUUGAGGCACAAGAUGCAAACCUAUUGUUGUUGCCUUAACAGAAAACGUAAAGAGAAGAGAGAAAGAAAGAAGAGAAAACUACAACUAAGCACAUGUUACACGAUAUGCAUACUUGUCUGGAAGGCCUGGACAAAACCGGGGAUACGAAUAAAUCAUCCAUUGAGGCCACCAGACAAUUUAGAUCCUUUUGCACAGCUUGAAAACCAGUUCAAAUGUUUCUUCCUUUCAGAAUCCUCUAACGCUGUAUGCAUUGUGUCUGCAGAACUACAUUCCUAACAUCGGAUUUGGCAUUUUCUGUUCUAGAACCACUACACUUUUGCUCCAAAACACACACCAGUCAGCGGGUGUAACUACGAAGAAGUUCAUCAUGACAGAGGGUUAUUCAGCUUCGCGGCGACGAUUCCUGCAGCUACUGUUUUCGUAGGACAUCAUGUGAUACCAGGACCUUCCUCUGAACCAAAAUACACAUGAUUAAUUAGUCAAAAUUAAAGAAAAUCACAAGUUUUAAAAAAGACUAAAAUCUUAAGGAAUAAGGCAAACCAAAUGAGAAGUUGGGACAUUUGAUGAAUAAAGAGAGGAUGCUGAUAGGCUUCAUUAAGAGUUAAUCGAACUCUCAAGAUUUGGAAGUGUUUUCUCAGGAAGAACAGCUCACGAAAAGUUCAAUUUUUUUUUUGUCAUGCAUGUAAAGUUUUAUUGAAACUUCUAAUUUGAGCAUUUUCAGAGUCAUCUUUCACCAGUCUCUUUAUUUUACGCAUCAUUUUUCUCUAAGAUAGCAUGUGAAAUUUAUAGUUAAGGUCACACUCAUUACUGAUAGCAGCACUAUUUGAUUCUCAUAACAAAUUUAAACAUGAGAAAAGAGAUCCAGUUCAGGGAGAUCGAAACUCUGUUGUUACGAUAACAAAGAGAAUACAUCAGCAAUCCAAAAGCUAGCAAAUGCGUAAACUAGCAAAACUGGAAUUUUUUUUCUUGUCGUAAUGUAAACAUAACUAGUUAAAUGGGUAAUUUUUGUGAAAGAAAAACAAUAUCCACAUUGCUUUUUAUACCUAAAUCUAGAAGGAGAUUGGAAUUGACAAGGAUAACUGAGAAACAAUAGAAACGUAUGCCUAACUGCGAAGAAAAGUUACAUCACACGACACUACGAUUGUAAUAGCACAAAAUAGUAAGAAUUACCAUUGGCUCAAAGUCCGGACUGGACAAGUUGAAGCUGAGAUUCCUCAUUAACAACAGAACCUGCAGAAAUAACAAAAUUUAACUACAGGCGCAUUGAUUCGUAGUAACUAUUCUCAUCCCACUGUUACUUGUUAAUAUUAGAAACCGUCAAGAAACAAAUUGCUAAAAGCGAUGUAAUUUCAUUCAACUCACAGUUUCAAAAUUAAUGGGAUUCAUUUCCCUGAGUUUCUGAGCAUGACCUUUUGUUUCUGGAUCAAAAACACUCCCGAUGAAGCUAUAAACUUCGGCAAAAUCAGGGAGACCUGCAAAAUAGUAAAACAUAUACAUAUAUCAUGAAUGUUCCACCAUAAAUUUUCUUGAAACUCAAAGUCGAGAACAGAUAUAGUCAGCAGUUGCAGUCUGAUGAUCACCAUGAUGCCCAGGAGCUUGUUUCCCCUUGAUUUGGUAUCUCGGAACUUGGCAGGGGGCCACUAAGACUGCAUGUGUUAAUCCUUGAUAACCCCUUUGAUCCAAUGUCAGCUGAAUCAGUUACGCCGAACCCCAUAAUAAGCGCUGGAAAGUUCUCGACAAAGCUAUUCUGCCGUAAGCAUAUCAAGCAAAACAACUAGAAAAAUAGAAUAUACCUUCAGUUCCAUGAAGAUUAGUAAAUUCUUCAUGUGACAACAGAAUUUGGUCGGAUGCAGGGUUUGUCAAAAUGGAAGUUUCAUCCCAAGGAGAAUAGGUAGAUGCAAUUGCGUUCAUUGAAGAAGGAUAAGCAAUGGAUGCUUGCAACGGAAGUAAACCUGCCAAUUCCGAUAUUGAACAAUUAAAAGUGAAAACAAUUAAGGUUUAAGCUUUAGAAAGACACAAUGCCACUAUCUUUUAACAAUGGAGAACCAUUUUUGGAGGCCUUUUGCGGGUAAGGAUGAGCAGCCUUGCGCUUUGGCCGCGGAGGAGGCACGUGUGCUGUUGUCCCGCUCUUUUGAACUUUCAAGAAGUACUUCUGGGCGUGACUCCUAAUCUGCAAGACCCCAAUCUCAUAAACCCCCAAUUCAUACUAACUUCAAACUAAAAAGCAGAAAAAACACUUGGUCCAAACCUGAAUAACCGUUUUCGAACCUACAAAAUCUUCGAUUUUCUUCCAGUCUCUAUCAAACCUGAAAAUCCCACCGGAACUUCAAUAACACUAAACAUCAAAUGACAAAAUCUACAGUUUUACACAUUAAAAUCUCCCAUUACAUUACUCUGUUCACGAUUCUAAAAAAUAAAGUGAGAACAAAAUUGGAGCAAAAGAAUAUUAAAGUUCAGAAAUUUGGAAAAUUCAAAUAAAACCCACAACGCAAAACAAGAAGUUAAAGCACACCACAACACAGCUACACAAAAAGCAAUUAAAGCCAAUAAGCAAUCAAGUAAACUGAAACAGAAAUAGGCAGGUGGUGGACUGCCGUGGUGGAUAAGGCUUUCAUCUUCAACCCACUACGUCCGGGUUCAAACCCUCCUUUUCCCGUAGUUUUGAUGAACUUAGUGUAGAUUAUCCAACCGUUUGUCGGAAAAAACAAAGAAAACAGAAUUGAAUGCUUGAAAGUAAAAAGACAACGAAUAGAGGAAGAACUGACAGUUGAAGAGCUUCGAGGAACUUGUCGUGCUCUUCGUCGGUCCAGCUUUCUCUGGACUUGGUGAUGGUGUAUGGCUUCCGGACCUUCUUCCCCGACCCGUCUGAGGACGGCUUCAACACCGUGCCCAUUGACGAUUGGGGGUUGGUGGAGGCAGUGGAGUUCAUGUGACUGAAUGAAUGAAUGUGCAUGUGAGAGAGAGAGAGAGAGAGAGAGAGAGAGUUUGUGGCGCGCGGGGGUUCUGAGGGACUGUGUGUUCCAAAAUGCGUGGUGGUGGCAUGCGAGUGAAUUGAGGCCGCCCAAUUAUUUGGUCACCGUCUUCUCUUCUUCCUCCACUCAAUUAAUCGUCCCGCGUCUUUGCUUUUACAAGUUUUUACUGCGGGGACAAGUAUAUAGCACUGGUUUGAAACUUCCUCGGUACACCUUUUUGGUCUUUACGGCACCAUCACUGUCACGUGUUAGUUAUCUAUUGAUAGACAAUAAUACAGGUACGCCGUGUUACCAAUCUAUACACGUUAUAACACGCGUAUUUUGUCUAUGAUACGUAAAUUAAAUAAUAUUACAUGAUUGUGUGUAACAGUCACGUACGAAAAAUUUCCAACUUUACUAAAGAUUUUACUUCUAUAAGAAAUGCCACAAGUGAUGGGGACAAUAAGCGUUAUACAAAUGAAAUUGUAUACAAACUCUUAUUUUUAUCCAAUCGGGUUGACAUGAACGUCAUUAGUACUAUAAUCUAGUGGUAAGUAAGAGGUCUUAUAAGUUCAACUCAUGCAAAUGGCAAGUUCUAUAUUAAAUUAUAUUAGCUCCCAUUGUAUGGUUUAUUCCAAACUUCCACAUGUUUAAAUAUCAUUAUAUAUGGGAAAAUUAGAUUCACAUCAUUCUUUUUGUUAUUCCAUUGAUUAAAAUCCUAUUCAUUUUCAAUUUUUGAUCAAGGUCCUUAGGUAUUAAUAACAUCAUUAAUUAUUUGAAUAAUAAAAUAUUUUUAUUUUUAAAUAUAUUCCUUUAAUGAUAAAAAUGUUACAAUUAGUAUAUUUAUAUUUAUGGCUAAAAUUUUUAUCAUAUAUUUUUAUUUUUAGUUUGUACUAUUUUAAUUUGCAAAUAUUUUUAAUUUGUACCAAUUUUCUUUCAUUUUUAAUUUGUACCCAUUAUUAGUUUCUUUUUGUGCCCAUAUUUUUUUAAAGUUUUAUUUGCGUUUGUACCCAUGUGUAUACCGUCACGUGACAUUUAAUCAAUGAUAGAAAAAUUACAUAUGGUAUAUUUAUAUUUUAUUCCUAAACUUUGUAUCAUAUAUUUAUAUUUUUAGUUUGUACCCACUUUUAAUUUGCAACAUUUUUUUUUUAAUUUGUAGUAUUUUCUUUUAGUUUAUUUUACCCAUGUAUUAAUUUCUUUUAGCGCCUAUAUUUUUAAAAAUUCAUUUGUAUUCAUAAUUUAUAAUCUUUUAUAUGUACCCUAAUUUAUUUCUAAUGUAGCCAUUCUUCUUUAUUAAUGUACCACUUUGUUAUAUGUGAAAUGUACCAAUUUGUUUGUAAAAUGUACCAAUUUUUUUAACACUAUGGAUACAUUAUUUUGCUAUUUAUUAUUUAUUAUUUUUACAUAGUUUUUAUCCAUUUAUUCAAUCAAAAAGUUUGAAUUUUUUUAUUGUAAACAUUUUUAAUAGUAUUAUAAUGAGGGAUUUUAAACUUAUAGGAUUAUAAAUCUAAUAAAAUAUCAAACAAUUAAUGUCAAAACUAUAAAACUAUAAAUAUUAAUAGUAAUAUAAUGAGGUGUACAAAGUCAAGGGACCUUGAUCAAACUUUGAAUAUUAUUAAGAUUUUAAUCAAAGAAUGUUGAGGAUUAGAGAUCGCAUCCAAAAUAUCUCUAUUUUUUAUAUUUUAUUACAAGCGGUAAUUUACACUAAUCAAUACUAAAAUCAAAAGGGUCAUCAUUUGCAAAAAUAUAGAAGGCAAAUUCCACCAAAGGGUUCUAUUAUAUGGUACCAGAGCAAGGCAUCAUAGCGGGUAUGACAGCGAGCUUAGCAUGAGUUAUGACUUCACGAUUACGAAUGGAAUCAAGUCUGGGCAAAUGAUCAGAUGGUUUGAAAACUAAUAAUAACCAAAGAAAAUGGUAGGCUCUACAUACUUAGCUUAAUCAAAUUAGUUAGAGCAUUGUGCUCAAUCUCUUUACACUAAAUUCGAAUCUUUCUGCGUAUUGAUUAGUUAAAUAAGUUUAGGUACAUAUAUUUCGGUACACUAGUUUAGUAUAAUAUAUUUAGGUACUGACAUUUCGGUACACUAGUUUAGUAUCAUAUAGUUAGGUACGGAAUUUUCGGUACACUUACAGUUUUACAUAUUUUCUUACGUGUCACUAGUUCAUUACAAUAUAUUUAGGUACGGGCAUUUUGGUACACUAAUUUAGUAAAAUAUAUUAUGAUACGGACAUUUAGGUACUCUAAUUAGAGAAAGUUAAAUAAAAUUAAUGAAUUAAAAUGUGUAUAAUAAUAAAUUUAAAAUUUAAAGUAAUAACAUUAAAUAAGUUAUCUAUUAAAUAUAAGAACAAAAAUAUAAUAUGAAUUUGAAUUAAGUACAUAUUAAGGACAAAAAUCAAUAUUUAAUUUAACAUUAAGUUUUUAUUAAAUUUUAAUCUCCUUAAAGGAUUAAAGUUCAAAAACCUCUAAAAAAAUAACAAAUGAAAAAGCUUCUAAAGAAAAAGUUGUUCGAGUUAAUUGGAUAGUAAAACAUUAGCCACAAAGAAAGUACAUUGUUUUACAUCAAAUAGUAUAAAUAAACACGUGUAACAUUAUUAUUGUCUGCUAGCGUCUGUGUAGACGAAUUCUUGGUUGGCCUCAAAUCGAGCAAAAAUAUUAAUCGCAGCCGAUUUUGUGCUGAUGCUACAUGCAACUCCCUCCUGUCCACAACUAUGAUUGCCUGAUUCCGAGAGAGUCAUUGGUGGGGACAGCCGCGCCAUGUCACCAGGUACGACUGCCACUCACCACUUCCUUUCUUUUCAGAAUUUGUUUAGUUGUUUUGAAGAGAAAUCGUGAAUGGUGCGUUUGUUUGCCCUCAUUAGUUAUUAUUGGACUGGACUGAACUAACACUUAAUCCAGUCUCAUGUUUGGUUUAAUGAGAUUAGAUGGGACUCGCAGGGACUAACGGCGUUGCUAGGAGGUCUUAGCGAGAUCCCCAAAAUGCUUCGGACCACUACGACCGUCUCUUGCGUUCGCCUUCAACUGGGUUUGACGGAAACAAAUCUAAGAUAUCCAAGUCUGUCUCGAAUUUCUUCACUAAAAAUUGCCAUCGUUUCUACGAGUGAAGUCGGAACGGCCAUGACAGACUUUGAAGAGGUUCCUGUAGCCCCACAAGAAAUCUAAGCGUUCCAACCCCAAGCCACUGUUGUCUCUCACUCCCCCAACUCCACAAACCCCGACUCCCAACCGCUUACCUCGCCAGGCCUCUGAGAAUUGAAAAAAACCCCAAAUCUGGGAAUUGCAAAAAUACCACAUCUGGGAAUUGCAUAACACCCAAAGAGAAGGGCAAGAGGUGGAAAGGGAAGGAGAAGGUUUGACUAAGCUUGAAAUUGGGAGAAGAAAAAUGAAAGGGAGAGAGAGAGAGGACAAAGAUGCAGAGCAGAGUUCAAUUUGACGGAAACGAUGGGAUACAUGAGAAAUGAAAGUAAAGAUACAUAGAGUGGAGAGAGAGUGAGUGAGAAAAAAAAAUUGUAGAUUAAUAAUAGUAAAAUAUUAGUAAAUAUGAAUUAAAAUUUUGAAAAACAAUUGAAUUUAAAAAAAAAAAAAGUUCUUGACUUAGUCCGACACUGCAACCAUCGCGUCACUAAGCCAGUCCAGCUUAGUCCUUGAAGCCAGUUCAGUUCGAGACAGUCUAGUGCAACAAACACACCCUAAGUGUCUAAACAUAUUUGCUGUCAGCCAUUGCAGUAAAGUGUCAUAUGCAGGGGAUUUGAGAGAGAAGGGCUAAGGAACUCCACUAGAAAAUUUACCUCAUAAAAGAUAUCAAAGCUUGGGAUGAUAUUGCGGAAGUAUUUCAAAUCAAUCUUAUAUUGUAAUGUGUUUUAACUUGACAGUGCGUUUUUAACUUUAGAUACUACCACAAUAGCAUCUAGAUAAUAAGUAAUAGAAAAAUGUUGACUAUUCUCAGUGUCACGGUAUGAAUGAGACGCUUAAUUUGAUUUAUCUCUCACUCAUCACAAGAUUCACAACAUUUCAGAGGUUUCACAACAAAUACAGUUAGAUUAAAAAUCAUAACAAAAGUGAAUAAACAAAUACUCCCAAACAAGAUGGUAAAAUCAGUAUUGGAAGCAUCCCUAUAUUAUUCUCAUUAUCAUUUUUAAUUAGUGUGACAGUGGGACUGCCUCUUACUUACUAUGAAUAUAUAACAAUGCACAUACACAUAAUAUGAGUGGAUUGAUAAGUCAUAUGAUGGCGAUAUGAGUAAAUUAAUAAUAUUAUUUGACAGUAUUUCGAUGAUAGUUACACCAAAAAAAUUUAUCAAAAAGAAAAUGAAACCACAAAUAAAAAAGCACAUUGAAAUGAGAAUAGAGCAUGUACAAAGAAAGAGGGAUGAGUUAGGAUCAGAGUAGUUACAAAAUUUGCUUCCACCCAUUGUAACCACAAAAUAGAAGAAACUUUUAUAGCAAGAGUUCAUUACAAAUUAAUUUGAUUCCUUAAGCUUUAGUGGUGAUUUCACUUUGGUCCUCAAAAAUCUUGCCGUACAAAGUUGUCAACAAUUCGUGAAUUAUAUAAUUUGCCAAGAUUAGCGGUCGACUAUUUCAACAAAAACAAAAAAACUCUUUGACAUCACAUCCUUGUAACACCGAAACGACCACUUAGAUUGUGACAUGUGUAAACAUAUCUAAAUACCAUUUGAUCAAAUCGAUUAUUACCUAAGGUGAAAAGUAUCUUUUCUAGUACAAACAAUAUUACCUACUCCUAAAAUAUAAGUAUUCACGUGCUAGAGAUGAACAAUGUAUAUUUUUCUUACAGUAAUGCCUUUAAAGUAGUCACAUGUUAUGUUGUUAACUUUUGUAAUGAAGUUCAAUUUAUGCCCUUAUUAAAUGCACAUUGAAAAGGGUACGGAUUUAGGAUUUAGGAUUUAGGGACCAAUUUGAGACAGAAAAAAAUUGAAGGACCAAAGAGAAGAAAGCUCAAAAGUUUAGGGAAAUUAUGAAGUUUCAAAUUUAAAGCGAUGUAAAAUUAGGACACGUGUCAAAGGGAAAGACGGCAAGGGAGAAUUAGAGGCUGGCAAAUCUCCCAGUGUGAUAAGACGGUACGGAAAUGUUAAGCCAUGAGAUGAUCAGCCUGCAGCAGGUUUGCAUUGGAUUGGAAUAUUCUUUUGGUUUCUGGGAUGUGCUGCUGCAAAUGGAUAUUCAAGCUCGAAUAGGAAGCUUAUCAUCCUCCUCUCACAACUUUCGGACCUCUCGAAAACAUAACUCUUCAUCUUCUUGUCCAUCUUCUUGCUACUCGCCAUUGAAGCCCUUGUGUUCCAGAAGGGAUUCUCAGGAGCCCCAACAAAACGGUGACAACAAGGGUAUGCUUACUAACUGCAGCUUUACUAAAUGAUAUAAUUAGCUUUUAAUUACUAUUAGUUAACUUAACUUUUGUAUUUGUUAAUUAUCAGCUUCUGGAUGUAAGAAUUACUUCAAGUGUGAUGUGCUUCUGAUUAUUUUGCAUUUCCCAUCAAGUUUUGGUUUGGUCAUCGCUUGACCGUUGGUGCUGUUUGGAAUUUUGGAUGAGUUGGAUUUACCAGUUUUAAUUAAGAUUAUUAGCUUAUUAAUUCAUUGUUCAUCUUUCGGGUUUCUGAAGGAAGUUGAGGUCGACCAAAAAAUUCUGGAAUUGGAGUGUGACUUAAUUCGUUAUAAGUCCCUGAGACAAUUCUUCACAUUCUCACAGUUUCGUUACAAUGAGUUGCAUGCUAUUCUAAUUAAACCAAAGAAUACACUAGGAAUGGCAGUGAGAUUCAUGUCUUAACAUUAUGCAUAUGGAUGAUAUAAUGAUCUUGUUUUAAAAGGUAAUUAAAGGAGAGAGAGGGUUAAAAGAAAGUUUCAUCAGUCGGUAGUAUGUAUGCGCUCUCAACUCUCACAACCGCUUCAUCACUCAAAAGCAAUAUUCGAUGGAUAGAUGUGAGAGAGCGGCUUAUACAACCACCCACCCUCUUAAUUUGGCCCAAUCUCAAUGGUAAUAUAUCAUGUUCUUUGCCACUAUUAAGUGGUUACCAACUAGCUCUUAGUCGUUGCUAUUUCUUUUCUCAGCGAACAAGAAGUCCUCUUAAGUUUGAAUUCUCAAGGUGAUUUAGCUGCUUCUAACCAUAAAACUGACCAUAUGGUGGUUGAAUGUCGAUCAUCCAAAUACCUCCUCAGGUGAUAAAUUCUCAACAGAUUGGGACAAGGCAUGGGCAAACAUAAGGAAACAAGGCAAAAACAAAAGGAAGGGUGGCUUCUUCUCAGGGUUUUCUUCUCCAAACAAGUACGUGAGCUGGAACCCUAGGCAGUCCAAUUACCCACUGUCUGAGGAGGUUGAUCCAAUCAAGAGGACAGAAAGGUCCAACCUCAUGCUAUGGACUAGUCAAGGUUUACCCUAGCAGGAGCCAUUGUUAUUGUCACCUUCCUUUUGGUAUACACCAUUCUUUAUCCACUUAAGUAAUUUCACUUCUUCAAGAAACACGACAAACACAGGGCUUCAUGUUGUAAAUAUGAUUGUGAUUUCCUAUGAGGAAAUGGCUAGUUGGAAAAGGAAUUCUGAAUAUGAUUAUUAUAAAUAAAUGAAAGUUCUUACUUCUUCAGCUCAGGUUUGCAUAUGUAGUUUAUCAAUUUGGCAUUACUUUACAUUGAUAUUGGUAAGGAAUCAGAUUCUAGUUGAUGAGUGAGCUUCAAUUCAAGGAUUCUCAAAUAAGUUUAUUAGAGGGACACUUAUGUAGAGUCACUCGGCAUUGUAUUUCAAUUAUCCGAACUGUCUAUUUUGGUAUUUCCUCAAAGAUCAUCGUUGCGAAAAAGUACUCAAGUCCAAAAUCAUCUAACCACUUUAAUUAAAUGGUUUCAUUUUAGUGUUUUCUUGAAAUAUUGUACGUGUUCAUCUAUUUAUUUAUUUUUCAUGCAACCAAAAUCUCUUAACGGUUUCCUAUUUGUCUAAAAUUUUGCAAUAAUGAUGUAUGAUUGAAGACAAUUCCAGUGUAAUUAUACAAACAAAUGUUUUUCAAUGACUCGGUUCACAAUCAAAGGCAAUGGACUAUAUGGUAUGUACGUAUACGUUGAGCAGAUGACUAGAUCACAAAAACACUUUAUCAAUACCUUUGCUUUUGAGAGAUUCUGCCUCGUCACCUAAUGUACACACCUAAUAUGAGUAUCUCACUCAUUAGGCAGGCAUAUGCACUCAGUGACAUCCGAUAUUUUCUCCUUGAGUAAUUCACAAUUACAAAAGAAUGUAAGGUCACUAUUAUAUCAAAAUAUGCCUCCCUCUUAGCUAUUGACAGUUUUUUACAGCCAAAAAAGCAGAAAGAGAUAAGCACAUGUGCAAAACAAAUUAACAAACACAUUCAUUUAGGAUUACAGGUUAGAAUCCACUGAUAUCAUACGCGGUGAACAGAAAAAACCCGAAUGUUGGUGAUGACGAAGAGAACGAUGUGAUAGUUUGGUCUUUGAGAGAGAUAAACUCAUGUUAGCACAGUGUAAACCAUAUAGAUUUGGUAAUCAUCAUGUCUAAAGGAUCAGCUCUAAGGCAGAACCAGAAAACCCCAGCAGUCGUCGCUAAGUUUUCCACUAGCCUAAGCAAACCCUCGUGUCUUAUUAUUGUCCUAUCCUAUUGUACUUCCACUUGUUUGUGUUCCCUUCACCAGAAGAUGACAUCUAUUAGGGUUUGUCUGCGUUGCACCAGCAAGAGCUUCUUCGGGUCCUUUUCAAAGGGGACAGUGGAGAGUUCAGGUCCAGAGUUACCCAAAGAUAUUGGGCAAUUAACUGUUGUGUUCAAGAAUUUUUUGAGCUUGUUUGGUUUUGCGGAUCAUUGACUUGACUGACUGCUUAGGUUUGAGUCUUUAACCAGCCAUCACAACAGUAUAAUUCCAUCAAAUAGUGCAUUUUCCUCGUGUGCAUGUUUUUUUCUUCCGCAAAUAAUAUAUAAAUAGCUUAUAGUACUUAGUAGUCUGUCUGCAUUACUCACUCUGCUCCCACACCAAAAUUAUAAAAAGCUGUCUCAUUCCCAUUUUCUUUGUGCUCCAAAUUCCACACCAAUGACUCUAUCUAGGCUUCCUCCAAAGAGAGGCCAGAUCAAAGUUAAGAUAGUAUCUAGACUUGUCAAGUUGGUGGUGAGAAUAGUUUCGAAAGCCAGGGAGAGAGCAGCUUCGAAAGCCAGGGAGACAGCUGAACCACCAUAUAAAGGUGGCGACACAAGAUGCUCAGGCGCCUAUGCAGCUGGAGAGCGAUCAAAUUAACAACGUAUGGUUCAUACGAGCAUUGAUGUCUAUAAGUAGCUGCAUAAUGUUGAAGCAGUACUGCAGUAUUAUAUAUAUAUACAUAAGGAGUUGAGCAGCUGCGCUCUUGAGAUUGCAUGAGAAAGUUUGUAAUUGUGUGUGCUUUUGGUUUCAUGUACUGAUUCUAUCAUAAAUUCAUAAUAAACCAUUUCUUUUUCUUCACUCUUACAUUCUAAUGAAGAAGGAUAUUGUUCUGUUCUUCUCGACGACGAACUCUUUGUUGUUCUGCAUGGCUUUUGGAAUUCAACAGUGUUUAGCGAACACGAAUUUCGCGCAAUCUGUUAUCCGGUUGCAGAUUCAACCGUGCUUUUGGAUUCAUGCAACAGAGAUACCUAAUUUGAUUCAAGAAACCCUUGUUUCAAUUUGUCAAAAUGUUUUUUCUGAUGUCAACUUUAUCAAAAUGUUGAUGUCUUAAUGGAUGACUUUUGAAGAAUGUAAAGUCCCAAGUCGUAAAUCUUAUAAAUAGUUCUCGUGCUAUGGUAUUCGAAAGAUAGUUCAUGUGCUAAAAAAAAAGGAUUUAAACCCUUGUUGUGUAGUUCGUUAACAAAUUUAAUCAAAAAUGAUUUCACUCUCUUCUCUCUUGUGGUCCAAUUUGUAAUUUCACUCUCUCUCUUACAAAAAAUACUAGACCAUUUAUACAAAUUUCUUGCCUUUAUUUCAUGGUUCGCUAGAAAACAAAGAGUCUAAUGGUUGCAGUUACGAAAGUAAAUGGUGUGAUUUAUACAAAUUUCUUGCCUUGUUCAUGAUAUUAAAAAAAGGUUGGAUGCAUCAAGGCUGGGAAUUUGAGGAAACAAAAAAAAUCAGUUAUACCCACUUUCCCUUUUUUUGUUCUACUAAUUUGGUUUGGAUAGAAAACCCACAAAAAUGGUUGGACAUAGAGAGUAAGGCGUGAAGAAGGUGGAAGAUACAAAUUACAGACAGAGGAAAAAGAGAUGGAGAGAAGGUGAAAAGAAAUGAGUGAAAUAAAAAUACUUUUUACCCUUGUAUUUAAGUAAAAAAAUUUACUAAAUUUGUUAACGAACUACACUACGGGAUCUAUUUUCCGAAUACCUUAUCACUAUCAAAACUAUUUAUCCAAUUAGGCCAAGUAAAGUACAACUUCUAUCAUGAGUGGUUUCUCAUACUUUUGAGUGGAGGCCUUUCGUAUAAAACUCCACUUGUUUACUUAAUUUUACCUGAGUUUUUCUUUAUCAUUUAUUCACUUUUUAUCUUCUCAACGAGUUUCUGAAAUUUUUGUAAACUGUGCAAUCAUAUGGGCAACAAAGUUGAUCCGGUCGUGCAAAUUUGAAACCCUUUUUAUACUAUAAUGCAUCUGUGCUCCGGAUCCCUUCCACCUAGUUCAUUAAGGUCAUAAAUCUGGAUUUUUGAAAUUUGAUCCAAAAGCUACAAACAGGGAUCCAUUUUAAAAGUUAUAAUAAAUUUAACCGUUUAAUUAAAUUUCAAAUGCCCGAAUUUGUGACCUUGAUGAACUUGGUGGAAGAGAUCCAGAGAUAUCCAUUUCCAACCGUGACCAUAAAGAAUGACAAUGUUGAAGUUGAACCCGACAAAACCAUCAUUUUGUUGUUGAUCAAUUCCAAUAUAAAAAGUUUUAACUGUUGGGAGCAAAGCAGCACCAUUCCCUGUCAAAAUUGGUUUGUUACUAAUCAAUAAUCAUAUAGCUCUAAAUCAGAAAAUAAAAAAGAAUAAUCAUUUAUCUUGAGAGUUAUCAUUAAAAAGGGGAUAGUUUUCAUUUGAUACUACUUCGUUUUUAACUUUUAAUUUGUAUGUUUGAGAUAUAAAAAGAGUAUACGAGCAAAAUUAAUUGAGAGAUGAAGAAGGGUGGUGAAAGAGGAUAAAGAAAAAUGAGCGAAAACAAAAUCUAAACUAAUUUAUAAAGCUAAACACGAAAUUGUUGGUUUUGGUUUCUCAACGUUGGAAAUAAAGAUGUGUAAAUUUUUUCUUCAAUUAUCAGUAAUGGCCCCCUCCACUAAACUCAGAAACUUGUAUCAGCAAGACAGCAAUUAUAAUUCAAAGGUGCAAAAGGUUUUUCCAAAUGCAUCCAAAAAAGCUCUCUGUUUGACACAAAAUUUCUCUCGUCAAGAUAGAAAUUAGGUUUAUCCUAUUAGUGCCUGUCAUUGUACCCUGUCUAGACGUACCGCGCUUAGUUAUAUAGGGGUGUAUGGUUCGAUACAAGUCACAAAUGUACUUAAUUUACCACUGAAAAAGUGUCACAACAAUCUACAAUAGAGAUAUAACUUCACACCACAAGUAAGUUGGGUACAAUAUCGGGCAUAAUCUCAUCGACCUAUGCUGAACUCGAGUAGUUAAGUUGAGAUAUUAUUAGUAACAGAUUGGAUGCGUAAGAAGUUAAGAAGUACAAGUUAGACAUAUUUUUAUGGCGUCAUGCUUGCUUAUGCACGGCCUAAGUCAAGAUGUCCUCGCUAGUGUACAAUUGCUUAUGCACUUAACUAGUUUUGCAAGCUGAGUUGCCCCCACAUCUUGAUGUAACAUGCUAGGCUUUGAAGGAACACUACGCUAAAAAAUGUAUGUUGGUUCCCUCAGUGGUAAUUCAUCCUUUUAUGUUAGGCAAUUUUAUUUGGAUUUAUAUAUCCUUUUAUGUGGGAUGUCUCUGUCUUGAUGUACCAUGCUAGGCUUCGAUGGAACACUAAGAAAUGUUUGUUGGUUCCCUUAAUGGUUAUUGAACAUCCUUUUAUGUUAGGCAGGGGCAUUUGGAUUUAUAGGUCCCUAUAUUGGUCACUUUAUAGGCAUUGUAGCCCACACCACACGCUGUUUGCUCCAAAUCACAAGAGAAACAUUGGUUACUUUCUUCACCAUUGGUAACUAGCAUAAAUGGAAAGGAGAGACAUUACUUGCGUUUUACGGUGCUCAGGUAAAUUACAAUGCAACGAUUAUUUCCGUGUCCUUCUCAAGGGACAAUCGGCUAUAGAGAAGGCAAUAAAUUAUACAAACACGUAUAAUGAUCCCCAAAGAUGGUACGAGCACUCACGGGUGAACAUUACAAGCUUUUGGAGAACAUCCGUGAGAGGUCGCCAUCAUUGAGGGGGCCAUGAGCUUACAGAUAGUAAGAUGAACGCAACUUAAAGAAGUAUGGAGACUUCAGGUUAGCUCUCUUGGACUAAGCACGAGCACCCGGUUCUUGAAUUGUUACCUUCGUUAAGCUUGCUUCCAACUCGUUCAACUCAUCUAUGUCCAGUUCGUCGUCGUCAUCGACAUUGGUAACUUCAGCAUCACCGCCAGCUGUUGCUGAGUCGCUUGGUCCAUGUCCAUUAGAGUUUUCAUUGGCCUGAAUUUAGGCCGGAGAAAAGUUUAGUGAAACAAUUAACACAUAGUCCAUUCAAUUAUGUACUAGUCAAUAUUAGCAUCCUACAGAUUAACCAGAUCCCGCACUGGCAUCUACGGUCAACUAUGCAAGAACAAUAAUCAUAAGCUUUAGCAGGCAUAAGCACUUCUAUCUCAUAACACCAGCCUCCAGUGCAAUAAAAUACAGAGUUUUUAUAUGGCAAAUAUAAAAGGGUGACAGCUAAUAAGUGAAACUACCCUUCUGUGUUCAUCGCCAAGAAAAUUAAAAAACAGAACUAACCUUCUUUUUGGAAACUGCAGGUUCUUGCUCUCUUUGGUAAUUCCCGUGUGCCUCGGCAUCAUCCACAAAUAAGCUAGAAUCUGACAAAAAUAGUUCACGGCCGCUGCAAGAGCGAAGAGAAUAACACAACUAGUAAAUGUUAGCAACUUCACUUCAAUACUCAUUUCCUCCAUUCUAAAAUGAGAAUGUUAAUAGUUGUAUCCAAUUUCUUUUUUAUUUACUCUUCGUCCUCCAAAAGGGUGGGAGUGAGCAUAUAUUGGAGAAAGUGGAAAAGAAAUACACCUCAUGCGGUCAUUCUUAGCCCGCUCUGCCAUUUGCGCGGCCAAGCCAGCAUCUCUUUCUGCGAUCUUUUUCUUCCUCCAUUGAAUGAAUAAGUCAAAGAGGUCGCACUUGGUGCGAUGGCAAGUGCCUUCGCCCAUGAGCGGUAGGUCUCGGGUUCGAGACUUGGGAGCAGCCUCUCCAUAAAUGGGGGUAAGGCUAGCCGACAUUCACCUCUCCCAGACCCUGCGUAAAGCGGGAGCCUUGUGCACUGGGUACGACCUUUUUUUAUUGAAUGAAUAAGUCAGGAGUCAUAGGGGUUGAAGUUGUCAAUUUAGCACGCUAAAAGCAAAAGGCAAAUGUUUGGUGAGGUUACAUAUCAGGAAAUGAUAGAAAUGAAACUCAAGGCAUUUAGAUCCUCAAACAGGAAAUGCUAUAAUUUGAUGUAAAGACUUGUCAAAUGACCUGAUUUUCAAUCUCCUCUUCAAUGGGUAUCUUUUCACUCUCUUCCUCCAACAGAGCCUUCAUCUGAGACUUCAAAACAUAUCCUGGAGGAAGAGCAUGCCUGUAAUGGCAAUUUUUACCGCCAUUGGGACAUACCCAAAACCAACCAUAUUGUUUCUUCUCCACUGCUUCUAAAAAAUAUUUACAGACCUGCACAUGUAUUAAAAACAACAAUGGAAAAAUCAUUCUGAAGUCUACCAAGCAGAUCGAUGGUUCGAAUUAAAUACACAUGUAAGAAGUUGAGAACUAGAAUGCAUAUUGUACGAAAAGCCUCAGAGAGAGAAAACUUACAAUAUCAGUUGGUUUGUUCUGCUUGUACUCAUUUUUUUUCGACUCCACCACCUUCUCCAAAGUUUCUUGAUCCCAGGCCUCCAUUGUUUCUUCUGUAAAAGAUAUAAAAUCAAACUCAGAACAACAUAAACCACAAAAGCAUCCAAAAUUGUAGACAAUCGGCAUCAUACUGAAGUUAAAAAUUCUAUACGGUACCAUUAUCACGCUUAUCACUGUAAAUGUCAAUCUUUUCUCCUUUCCUCUGAACAUUCAAAUCAUGUGAGAACUUGCACUUGAAACCUUUUGCGCACUGCCCCACCUUAUAGAACUCACAUACUAUAGACUUGGGAUCAACACCUAAUCACAUAUCAAAUAUUAUAUCAUAUCGAAGUUUCGACUGUAUAUAGACAUCAAAAACUUCAAUCAACAGGGCACUAAAACAGAAACUAAUCACUUACCAACUGGUACUUUCGGUUGACUAACAGCAACCUUAAAUAAUUCAUUCAGUUCCUUGUCCUUGGCCUUCUCUUCCUCCUUCUUCUUCUGUUAUAUGAAUCAUUUUACUUACAAUAAAAGAAGCUCCAUAUGAAGCAAAACAGAUAACCAUUUGAAAAAGGCAGAGUUUUAGUUGACAUUGGAUUCAAACUUCCAUGUAUUCCACAGUUAUGGUGUGAUAACCUUUCUGCUAUAUCUCUGGCUAAAACCCCUCUCUUUCAUGCUAGAACUAAGCACGUUGAAAUAGAUUAUCAUUAUAUUAGAGAGAAGGUUUUAGCUAAAGAGGUUUCAGUUCACUUUGUCUGCACACAGGACCAGAUUGCAGACAUUUGUACCAAAGCAUUAUCCAAGCACAGAUUUCUGCUUCUUCGCGACAAACUCUCUCUUCGAGUGCCUCAGAUCAGUUUGAGGGGGGCUAUUAAGGCUAAUAUUGUAAAUGUAUCUGUAAACGACGAUACUUAGAGUUUGUUAAGUUUGUUACUAAGUUUGUUAGCUUUGGUUAGAAUAGGUGAGCUAUGAUUACAAAUGUGUAAAUGACUUGUCUAUAUGUACUCAAAGUGUAAUAUUAUUUCAGUUAAGAAAUGAAAUGAUAAUUUCCUAAUAAGUCUCAAACUCAAAAGAACUAGGAUGAAACGGGAAUGCCAAGAUGGAUAUGUCCCAAACCAAUCACGUGACGCCACAUGGGAAAUUUGAGAACACGUUUUCGUGUUAUUGGUGACGGUGGCGUCCUGGAGUGUUGCCUCAAAUUCAUCUAUGUGAAAUUAAAAACUUUCCAUAACCAUGCAAAUUUUAUUUCCUGGUCUUAUGACAAUUCUUUGGUUUUUAAGACGAUAUUCUAAACUAUUUUAUGCACACGAGGUCAAAGGGCUGAUAACUUGUCUUGGCCCACCUAGACUAACCACGUCUGCAAUGUUUAUUCUAAUCUAAGUUGGGUGCAAUAAAUCGAAAUUUCUCACUUUUUUUUUUCUUCUAAAAAAUAUAAGUUAAUCAAUCAACAAAUCAAUCAAUGAUUAGCCAAAGAAACUUAAAAAAUGAAGAAAAAUGGGACCUUAACGGCAGUCUUGGAAGGAUCGGGUUUCAGCUCGACAGAUUGCUUGAGGCUCUGAACAUACUUCUGCACGUUCUUGCUCUUGUUCUUGUUCUUGAGCCCGAAGGUCUUGUCCUCUACGAUCUUCUGCUUCUUCGCCAAAUCGGCCUUCGAUUGCUGCUUCGGCGGCAUCCCUUAUCGGCAUCAAAAGUUUCCGAUUUCCUAAAUUUCGGACGAUUUCCGGAUUGGUUUUGAUCUUCCGUCCCAAUUUCCGAAAUGAUGUGUCGCUGCCACCCGGUCUGGUAAUCUGGUUAAGAGAUAUGAACGGGACGGGACACGCCAGAAGCUUGACGUCUAUGUGGAUUUCCUGAUUUGCCCCUGGAAAUACCUGACGUGGCGGAUUGUUGUGCGGCUGGUUGGUCUUAUUACCCCCGUGUAAUUCUCCUGCUUUUUGCCACCACGAUUGGCGGCGCGUACAAGGCAUUUUAAUUUUAAUUUUUAACAAAUGCUAUUAUCUAAAUUGAAUAGAAUAGAUGGACUUAACCUCAUAAUAAUAAUGAGGUUUAAAUUUAACUUUCAAGAGAAUCGAAUUUAACCUUUCAUUUACAAGUAGAGAAUAAUAUCGCUAAACCCCUAACUUACUAAUUGGCACCAUGUAGGAUUUGGACUAGAAAAAUAUUGGACCAUCACCUACAAUACACUACAUGUCGUUUUGAGAACUUACGCCAAUCCUUUUUUUUUUUUCAAUCUAAAUAUUAAUUUUUUAUUAGCUACCCAAUCAUGGUGGAUGGAGAACCCUACUAAUAUGAGGAUUUAAGAGUGUGCUCUGUGUAAUUUCACUCGAGAAUAAUCAGAUCAAGAUCAUCAGAAUCUCGAAGACAGCCAAUCACUUUAAUGUUGCUUACACUAGUCUUAAAAAAUAUUAAGACGUGAUUUUUUUUCCUCGACUUAUUUUUGUAAUGCUUUUGAAAAUCGAACUUAACCAUAUUUAAAAAAAAAAACAAUUGUAUACCUUGGAAUCCGAUUUAACACAACUUUAACAGUCUUUCGUUAAUUUCAUCAAAUUAGCGUCAAUUGUGUUGACGUGUAAGGAGAAUACCGUAGGUAUGUCCUAGUUGGCACUGCUGGACCACCAAAACUGUUAGAACAACCAACCAGAAGCAGCCAUGUGGCGUUGAAAAAGUGAGAUGGUUGACCCAUUGAUCUUGCUGGGUGCUUGUAAUUGUUAAUGGAAUUUUCACAGAAAUCUUCUAGCAGUGGAAAAUUGUGAUUGUGCCUAUUAAAUUCCAUUUUUCUCAAAAGCACAGCAAGUUCAAAAUCCAAAUGUACAUUUGAGUUCCUUCAUGAACCAGUUUCGAGUUUGCAAUAUUUUUAAAAGAUGUAGAUAAGUAAAUUCGAAACUGGUUCGCAAAGGAACUCAUGUCCUUCCCCACCAAUCUUCUUCUGCAGCUAUCCAUUUUUAAAGUCCAGUAAUUACCAUGCCGAUCGCCAGUUUUGUAGGAAAUGGAGGUGGUGAUGGGGAGGGGAAGAGAAGCCAAGAGGGAGGGCGCGGAUAAAUGUUGGGAAUUGGGAAUUUUCUUUUUAGUUUUUUUUUUUUAAUUUUAAUUAUUGAAUAGUUAGAAGUAGAAUUUGAUCGAAAUAGCCACUGCAUUUUUGCCAUAUGAUGCCACAUCAGCUAGUUUAACGAAAUAAAUAAAUGGAAAAUUGUUAAAGUAUAGUAAAAAUUGAGUUUUAGAGUGUAAGCAGUGAUAUUUUUGUUUGAGUUUUAGAGUGUAAGCAGUGAUAUUUUUGUUUUAUGAGAAAAUGGGAUUAAGUUCAAUUUCUAGGGUCAACGUAAAAAAAAUAAGUUUUUUACUUUUAUAUAAUGGUUUAGUAAUAUUUCUUUUCACUUAUAAAUGAGAUGUCAAAUGUUCAAAUGAUGACGAGUUAAACUUAGCUAAAUCAUUAUGUUUCUCCUCUGAACCUUUAAAACAUUUUUUAACAAUGCAGCAUACUUUCCUGAUCUAAAAUUCAAUCAUUUAGAAUUUUUAUAUCUAGUUCAACUAUUAUUUUCAUGGAAACUAAAUACAGUCAAACUUAUGAGCAACGAUUUUCCUUCUAAACUCUAAAAUGUUUGUGGAAUACAUUGGAAAAAUGCAAAAAGCCAAAACCACGGGAGUGGUGUAAUAUAAAAACCGAUCCUAAUCCGUGGCAUCGUAACCACCCCGAACUCAACCAUGAACUGUACGAAAUAGCAAAAUCGUCAAGCCUCCACCUGUCAUGUUUCCUUUGUUGGAGGUUUUCUCAUUGUUGAAUCAAUGACUGGUAGAACCAAUUCUCACCUCGAUUCCGACCAAUCAAAUCGUUGGAAAAGAAGGUAACUAGUCUCAUAUUUUAUAUUGAUUCAAAAAACACAUUUCUUACAAGCAACAAUCAUCCAAAAAAACCUAAUUGAUGGCAAAUAAAUUUUAGUAAAACAAUAACGUAUGGAGCUGCGUCUAUACCCUAAAAUAUAUUUUAGUUUACUCCAAUGUCUUAAUGGUUGUUUGAAAAAAAAAAUUCAAUGUUUGGAGGAAAACAGAAAGAAGAAGGUAUCUUAAAAAUCUGUAGGCAAUUGUAAAAAUCAUAUAUACACAAAAAGCAUGAGUUUUUACCAUAAAAUAACCGGUCAAGACGUUCAUGAACAUUUCAUUUCAUAGAAAUAGAAAUGCUAUGACUUAAAAUCAUUUUUUAAAUUUCAUUUUAUUUUUUAUUUUUGAUUAAGGAGUAUGAUUAGCUUUUAACAUUCUAAAAAAGAAAAAUUCAGUUAUUAUGAAAAAUGGGACAAUGAUGAGGCAGUUUAUUCUACCGUGGGGAUAAUUUUUUAUUUUUUAACAUGGUAUAUAAUUACUGUUUUGUCCUCGUAUUGUAAAUAGUGUGUGUUAUAAGGGUAAAAGAAGAAAAACAGAGAUAUGAUUGCCAUUUUGAGAAAGAGGUUGACGAUGCCUCUUUUCUUAAUAAUAGUACAAGCAGAGAGCACAUACUUUGUGUGUGUGAACAAUUUCUCUUAAUAAGUGCAUAUUUUUUUUAAUAUUACAUAAUUAUUGUUUUGUCAUCCUUAUGUAAAUAUUGUGUAUCAAAAGUGAGGGUAAAAUUAGAAAAAUAAGUAUAAAAAGAGGGUAAAAUUGGAAAAAUAGGGAUAUGAUUGUCAUUUUGUCAAAAGGUACAAAAUUACUAUUUUGCCCUCCUUUUGUCAAUAGUGUGUAUCAAAAAUGAGGGCAAAAUAGAAAAAAAAGGUGGCAAAAAGUUGACAAGGAGGGUUCUCAUAAUAAUAGUAUAGAUGAUUAAGGGAGGGUAGUUCAAAACCAUUACAUUACUUUAGAAUGGAAAGUUUUAAAUCCGAAAUGUAUUGGUAGAAAUCUAACACCUUAUCCAUUAAGAUGAAUACUUAGUAAAAUUUACGCAUCAUAGAACUCACACAGAUGUACAUGUCAUGUAUAGUGCACCCAAAUGACUUAGUUUAUUGUGCGAGUUAGCCCAAAAUUUUCACACCUAAAUAUAAAUAUAUCUUUGUAAAACACAACUAGGCGUCAAAACGAUUAAUUGGCCAACCAACCAACUAAUGGCAGAUCUAAGACUCUAAUCCCGUGGGAUCACGGUGUAAACGAUUCAUGUGCACGCAACGCAAUUUAUUUAUUUAUUUUUAAUUUUUCAUUGAGUUAUUUAGUCGAACAAUUGGUGGGCAUGUCAUUAUGCCUAAUUUGUCGGACUUGGAUUGUCUGCCCUCCCAUUUUGGUGCCCUUCCAAUGCCCUCCUGUUUUGUGUGUUUACGGUUAAGCCACGUCAACAUUUUAUAUUAUUUUUUUUAUAAAAAUAAUAAAAUAAAAAGAAAUAGUAAUAUAAAAUGCUGACGUGACUUAACCGUGACCACACAAACAGGGGGCACGAGGAGGGCACUGAAAUGGGAGGGCAGACAAUCCAAGUCCUAAUUUGCAACUUCCAAAGCUUGAUGACGAGGCUUGUCGAGCAUCACUUCUCAAGGCCUACCAAAAUUUUCCAAAGAGGCAUUUCAACAGAUAAAUUGUGGGGAGUUUGAGUUUCAAGACCCAUACCAGAUGGCCAUAGAGUCCUCGGGCGACCCUUCCCCCAUAUUUCUCAACCUUCAUAGGAUCCCAGGGAACCCCUGGAUUCGCCCAUGCAACCAAGAAAAGACACAUGGUGGUUGCUUUUAAAAAUUCUUAACUCCGAGCUCCUCACCUCUAAAACCAGAAAAAAUUGAACAAAUGCUAUUCAUACCACAUGAUGUGGCAAAAGAUUGUAACCGCCACAUUAUUUAGUUGUUCCAUUUAGUGUUGAUUUAUAUCUCAUUGGAUGCUAAUUCAGGGAUAUGGUCAUUUGAGGAGGCUAAAACGGCUUUAGCCCCUAACCCCUUCCCUCUGACCAGUGAUAUAUGCUCACCUCAAGUUUUCAUUUUGAGGAAAUCUGAGGACCAACUCUAUAUCAGCCCUACGAUUUUAUUCAAUAACAUCUAAUGGCUCAUAUUCUUUUACAACCUAUUUAUAGCCAUUUUUAAGUUCGAUCAACCAAAUUAGGUUGCAUAUUGUGUGGUUUGACCGAACUCCCAUUCCUUUUAGUGUAAAAAUAUUGAUGUACUAAAAAAAUUUGUUUUAAUUUGUGAAAGAAUUUGAGCCGCUAGAUCCCACUAAAUAAAUUUCUACGAUUGAGAUAGAGUUGGUUCUCACUCGUCCUCGAAUUAAGGAUCUUAGAUUAGCAUCACUAUCCCUCUCACACAUAGACAUGCUCUUAGCAAGUUAAUUGGUUUGAAUAGAGUUCAUUUUAGGAUAGUCUUUCGUUACGUCGCAAAUUUGUUAUUCAAGAUAAUAGAAAGUAAGAUCUUUUACAAAAAAGAGUUACCCAUAAUUAAGUAUCAAAAUCGAUCAUCAAAGUCAAAUAUAAAAAAUCUAACUUCCAAGUCUAAAUGAUUACAUGUUUCAAAUAUGAGAAUUUUUUAGUAUUUUCAGAAUAUGUGCCAUAAUACACAUGAAGGAAAACUAAAAAAAGUUUUCUCUCAUCUUAUAUUAUGGCAGAUGGUGUACCAGAUAAUUUUCUAGUAACACAAAAACAUGUUUCAGUAACAUAAAAAUUUUUCUCUUCAAAUAUACUCUGAAACACAGCUCAGUAACCGUUUUGCUAGUAGGAGUGUUAUACCCACAUACCCCUGUUUACUUCUCACACAUAUUUUUAAUUUUUGACCAUUGAAUCGGAUGAAUUGAAGAAGAUUAAAUGAUAUAAAUUAACAAAAGAUGUGAGAGAAGUAGAAAAGAGUGUGUGAAUAUCACAUCUCUGGCUAGUAAUGAAUGACAUGUUGUGAGUAGGAUUCUCUUUUUUUUUUUUCCCCUCUUCUCCUAUUUGAACGGUCACGGUUAAACUAUGUCAACAUUUUAUAUUAAUUUUUUAUAAGAAGAGAAAAACAAAAUAGAAAAUAUGAGAAGAGGGGAUGAAAGUGGAUGAAAAAAGAAGGAGAUGAAAGGAAAUGGAAAAAGGAGGGACGAGAAUCUACUGUUCGAGAGGGUCUUUCAUAACUUUUUGAAGAAACCGUUUAAAUUGAUAAAUUUCCCACGAAAAUACCGGCCCUUCAAAUCCAAUCCUCAAAAACCCAUUAAAAAACCCCAAACAUCUUACACCCAAAAACUUAAUAAAUAAAUAAAAAAUUAGAAACACGCACAGCGGUUUGUUUUGCUGUGAGAGGGAUGAGAGAGUUCAUAAUCCUCAGCUACUUCUCUUAUUCUUCUUCUUCCUCCAUUGCCACUCUUCCGAAUCCCCAUGCCGCCAACAACCACCACUCCACCAGACCCUACAAAGACAACACCAACAAACCCUUAUCCCUCCCUCCCUCCAAAUCCUCCCCUCCAAUCUCCACCCUCCAUUCCCGCCCCCCUCCCCUCUCCGCCGUCCGCUGGGACCCCAACAAAACCCACCUCUGCUACUUCGCCGACCUCGCCUCAAAACUCGCCCGUGACGGAAAGCUUCAGGAUUUCGCCAUGAUUGUCGAAAGCGUCGUGCUUUCGGGCGUCAGGGGAUCCGAGUUCACGGCGGCGCUCAGGGUUGAGUUGGUGGCGAAGGGCAUUUCGGGGUUUUUGAAAGAGGGGAAGGUGGGGGUCGUUGUUGAUGUGCUGAGUAAGGUUGAUGAGCUCGGGGUUCCACCGUUGAAGCUGUUUGAUGGGUACGCUAUGGAGUUGCUGGGGAGACAGUGUCGCCGGCUUUUGAAAUGUGGGCAAGUGCAGGAACUUGUUGAGCUCAUGGACGUUCUUCAAGGUAAUUUUCAAAUUAUUUCUUGAUUAAUUUGUUUAAUUUAUUGAAGUAUAAACCUGCAUUGGUUUUAUAAUUAAGCCAGUCAUGGUGUUCAAAGAUUUCAACUUGUUAGAGAAAUGGUUAAGUACCCAACUUUUGGAAUUCAUUGGCAUAUAAUACUUUUGAAGUGUAAUUAGUAUUGGUAAUGUGUUUGGUUGCUUCUAAAUGCUGGAUUUAGAAAAAGGGCGGUCGAAAAUGUUGAAAUUCUUGUCAUGAGUUAGUGUAAUGUGAAUGGGAAGGGAAGAAUUAAUGUUUCAUGAGAAUUUUUGUCUUGGAAGAAUGAGCAUAUGAUGAGCCAUGGUUGAGAACAUGAGACUGUUUGGGUUGGUAACAGAUAAUACUUGGUUCAGGUUUUCAUUUCCCGAUCAAAGAACUGCUGGAGCCAUAUGAAGUUAUCAAAGUUUGUGUUGAUAAACACUGCCCGAAAUUGGCAAUAAGGUAUAAUUGACUGUUCUCUUAUGAGUCGGUCCGAGGGUUUCUCAUAUGUCUUCUGCAUUGCUCAUACAUUUUCUUUUAGCAGGUUUAGAUUAGAAAGGGUUCAUACUCUUUCCAAGGAUGUGAAAUUUUGCUUGUUUUUCAAUAGCACUGCUUUCUUCAUUAUGCUUUGGUCAUUACAUUUUGCAGGUAUGCUUGUAUUUUUCCACAUGCGCAUAUUUUAUUCUGCAACAUUAUGAAUGAAUUUGGAAAGAGAAGGGCGUUGGAGUCUGCUUUGACAGCAUAUGAAGCAUCCAAGGAAAACCUGAGUGGUUCUAAUAUGUAUGUCUAUCGCACAAUAAUUGAUGUAUGUGGCAUCUGCAAAGACUACAUGAAAUCUAGGUACAUCUAUGAGGUAUUUACCACCGUGAUUGCCUUCGUUAUUUGGAACUGUUUUGCUUGGUUGGAACUGUUUAACUCUUUUUAUUCCAUAACUCAAAACUGAUUUUUCCUUUUAAUAUCUAUGUUUUCCUUAUGUGGUGGUUUGUGCCAACUGGGACAUUUCCCUUCAAUUCUUUCAGCAUUUGUAUUUCAUGUGAAACUAUUUAGUAUCAAUUUUUCUUUACUAGGUCCUUUUUUCUUGAGAAAAUUGAUGGUUUAAUUAGCACCUUGAAUCUUGAUAAUGUUUGUUAUUAUUUUGUUUUCUUUAAUAACAAGAAGAGAAAGGAACAGAGACAAGGAUGGAAGAGUGGAUGAAGAUCGAAGGGAGAAUAAACAAAAAUAAAUAUUAAAAAUUACUGAAUUGCUUUUAGUUUUUAUUUUAAAAUGUAGUUUUUGUAUACUUUAUCUGUUUUCUCUAUCAUCUUCAUCUCUUUCAAAACAUAACCAUAUUUUCCAAACGAAUCCUUAUACAUGUCUAUAACUUUAAUGCAGUCUGUGAGAUUACAAAUCAGGAUCUUCAUCCCCAUGAUUUUUUCUGCAGGACUUGCUCAAACAGAAGGUCACUCCGAAUAUUUAUGUUUUCAACAGUCUCAUGAAUGUAAACGCACAUGAUUUGACCUACACAUUCCAUGUUUACAGGAGUAUGAAGGUAAUGCUGUCUGUCUCUCUUUCAUACGCACACAGCCCGGACAUCUAUUAUUUUUCUUUCAAUGUUACUCAAUACAGAAAUUGUUCUUCUGGUUGCAUUGGACAAUGUUAUGCAAUAAAAAAUUGGUUUCUUGUGAAUUAAGCUACAGUUAUCUAAAUCUAUUAUCCUCAAUCCAGAAUCUUGGCGUCAGAGCAGAUAUGGCAUGUUAUAAUAUCCUCUUAAAGGCAUGUUGUCUUGCUGGGCGAGUUGAUUUGGCACAGGAUAUUUACAGAGAAGUACAGCAUUUGGAAUCAACGGGAGUGUUGAAGUUGGAUGUCUUCACGUACAGCACUAUUGUAAAGGUAAAUAUUAAUUUGCUUACGAGAUGUUAUUUUCUUACUGUUGAUAGUAAUAUGCACAAGCACACGAAUACUAUUUUUCUUAGUAUCAAUGGAUUUUCCAUAGAGAGGCGUUUACGAUCUCCAUAACUAAUGAUCAAUCGUUUAGGUCUUUUCAGAUGCAAAAUUGUGGCACAUGGCUCUAAAAGUCAAAGAAGACAUGCUAUCUGCAGGUGUUAUGCCUAAUACAGUUACGUGGUCAUCAUUGAUCAGCGCCUGUGCAAAUGCAGGUCUUGUUGAGAAGGCAAUUCAAUUGUUUGAAGAGAUGCUUCUGGCUGGCUCUGAACCUAAUUCACAGUGUUUUAACAUCCUUCUACAUGCUUGUGUCGAGGCUUGCCAGUAUGAUAGGGCUUUUCGGCUUUUCCAGUCUUUGAAGAGCAAAAACUACAAAGGUAUAGUAGUUUGCGUGGAGCAUAUAGUUAUCUACAUUGCAUCAUCAUGAGUAUGGUUUUCCACCUCUAAUUUGAUUUCACCUGAACUUUCUAAAGGGCUUUCUUUCAAACCCACAACUACAACGUACAAUACUAUGAUGAAGGCCUGUGGUACUGACUACUACCAUGCACAAGCACUAAUGGAUGAGAUGAGAACAAUAGGUCUUUAUCCUAAUCAAAUAAGCUGGUCGAUUUUGGCUGAUAUCUGCGGAAGCUCAGGAAAUGUCGAUGGUGCUUUGCAGGUAAUAGAUAAAUUAAUUUGAUCAACUUAAUUAUUUUAUAGUUCUUUCUGCAUCAUUGUCCAAAUUUUCCUUUUAAUUUAGAACCAAAAUUCAAGGAAAAAUAUGUCAUUGUCAGUGUACAAAGUCACGAUGAAACAAAAUAAGUCAGGGACAAGAAUAUAACAAUUUUUUGGUUCAGUGCAGAUUUUGACAAAUAUGCGUGCAGGUGGGAUGAAACCUGAUGUUGUUGCAUAUACUACAGCUAUCAAGGUUUGAAGCUUUCCUGUCUCGUGAUUUAUCUUGUUUGUAACCACUAUUCUUCCUACAUGUGCUUAAUUAAUUAGAUGCAAAAUUGCAUUAUUUUUGUUUCCACCCUAAAUGUUGAUGCAUCAUGUGCUUUGGUUCAUAGGUCUGUGUGGAAGGUGGAAAUUUAGAGCUAGCAUUGUCGCUGUUUGCAGAAAUGAAAAAAUAUCAGAUACGCCCAAAUUUUGUGAGUACCAAGAACAUUUCCAAUCAUAUAUCCUAACACAUUCUGAGGAAAGUUUUCGUACAAAUAAGCAUGAUUUACAAAUAAUUCCAUUGGUGUACUUUUGGAUUUCCCUUUAGUAUGUUAUGUUCGACUAGUCCUGCCAUAAGGAUGGAACUGCUCCGUCUUGUAUGAAACAUAGUUGCCAAAGUGAUUUUUUUGCUUUAUUUUAUACAAGAAUUUCCAUACAUGUCUUGACAUGAUUCUGCGUAUAAUUCUAAUGACAAUGCAAACAAAAUGAUCACAAGUCCACCGUGUAAAUCCUUGGCACUUUUUUCCAGGUGACAUAUAAUACAAUUCUGAGGGCUCGUAGUAGAUACGGUUCUGUGAGCGAAGUGCAACAAUGCCUGGCUAUAUACCGGGACAUGCGGAAUGCGGGGUAUACCAGCACAUGUUUAGGUUGUCAUGAACAAGUACAUUUUGCUAAUUAUGAUUUAUUUUGCAGUUACAAAUCUAACGAUCGUUUCCUAGAGCAACUGAUUGAGGAGUGGUGUGAAGGAGUUAUACAAGACAGCAAUGCCAAACAAGGAGAGUUCAGUUCCCAUGACAAAACUGACAUAGGGAGACCUGGAAGUCUGCUGCUUGAAAAAGUUGCAGAACACUUGCAAAAGCAUACUGCCGAAACCUUAGCAGUUGACCUUCAAGGACUGACAAAGGUAUUCUCAUGUACCAGCCAAUUUAUAUUCUUCGCAAUCUCGGUGAACAUGUUAUUAUGUGAUUUCGUUUGUGCAUUUUUUUAAAUAGGAUUCAUUUCUUUGUUCUCAUGCUAAUAAGUUCUUAAAUUGCUGCAAUAAUUGUUGACAGGUUGAAGCUCGGAUUGUUCUUCUUGCAGUUCUACGAAUGAUCAAAGAGAACUACAGCUCAGGUAUGAAAGGAUUGGGCAUUCAUUUAUUCUUUCUGAUUUUGGAUAGGGUAAAAAUCAGUCUUGAAUAACAUUAGCAAAUGAGAAAUGGAAGAAGAAACGUAUGAUCCAGAGUUUCGAACUUUCAGCACGCUGAUGCCAAGACUUGUUUAUGAUUUGCAGGGCAUUCAGUAAAAGAAGACAUGCUGAUUGUUGUAGGAGUCCACGAUGUUGAUGGAGGCUCAACUACACAGAAUUUAGAGGUGAAAGAUGCAAUAACGAAACUUCUGCAGGAUGAAUUGGGGCUCAAGGUUGUUGCAACAGGACCGAAAACGGGACUUGAUACGACAAUAGAAGCGGAGAACAUUACUGAUUCAGAUCAAGAUUCAGAAGAGAUGACAAGUAGGAAUGAAUUAACGACUGACUUGACAUAUUCCACUAGACGACCCGUUGCACUAGAAAGGCUAAAGGUAACCAGGGGAUCGUUGCUACAGUGGCUGCGGAAAAGAAGUGCCCCAAGAAGGUGACUGCUUCAAUGUAUGAAUUCAAACUUGUACAUGUUACUAAAACAACCGAUAAUUAUUCUUUUUUACUUGUGUAUACUGGUACCGCUGAAUAAGCCUGUACUGCACUGGUGUCACAUGUAAAUUAUACACAACGGGCAAAUGUAAUUUGCAGAAGCAAUGAAAAUAAGCUUAUUAUCCUUCAUUCUCUUAUAUUCUUUUAGUUUUUUCGCGUCCUUAAACUACAGAAAUCGUGUCGAUCAUUUCUAAGUUAUAAUUACUCAACCUCAUAGAUGCAACAACGCGGCCACGAGAAAACGAGCAUAUCAUCCUGGGGGAAAGAAAGUCACAAAAUCAUUGUUACUUCAUUCCAUUCCUUCUCCUUUCAACUGAAACAAUUCAAAAGAUAUUACAUCUUUACAAACUAAUGCCUAAAUCACUCGGCCGUAUCCCCAACCAUUUUAUAUCUGGUGUGGUCAAAUUCGCACUGUCAUAUGACAUGUUCUUCGACCACAGCCGUAAACUGAUAAAAUUUCCAGCCUGUGCAGAUCCCUGUCCACAAGAGCCAGCACCGGUUAGCUUCAAUUCCAGCUUCAACUUCCAUAAAAAGAGUCUGGUGGCUACAUCCUGCUGCCCCUCUGCAGUCAGGAUAAUACAUGGAAAUCUGUUGUAAAACCGAUCCUCAGAAAAUCGAAUAAAAGCAGCAUCCUUCUCAACCAACAAUAUGAACAAUGCAUCACUCUGCACAUCAUUCUACAUCCAGAGAUUCCUGGCCAAAUGAAAAAAUUGCUAACCCUGGCCAUUCAUUAAUCAACUGCACUGCCCCUGCAAUAGAUAGAAGAAGAGAUGACUUUCAACUUGAUCGCUCAACCUGAAUUUAAUCUGCAAUAGAAUUUAUAUAAGAAUACCAUUGUUUACCUUUGAAAUUCAGGACAAUCAAAAUCAUUGAAAAGCUUCAAGCUCGUUGGAAAACUGCGGCAAUUGAAUGUCUCCAGGAUGACAUGUGCAUUGUGACAUUGGCAAUGAAAAUCUGAGACUUGAUUCAAUCGCUUCCUGACCCGAAUUAAGACCAUGCUGAUGCACUUGAAAUCACAUAGCUGCCUCAAUUAGUACUUCUCAUCUGGUGGUUAGCAGUCACAAUUUGAAUUCAGAUGUUAUAAUAUGAAAAAGGUAUUUAACAUAUACCAUACUAAAAAAUGAUUCAAAAUUAUCUAAGGCGGAUAAGAGAAAUACCUUGUGAGCAUACAAGAUGUUCCUUUCACCAAGGACCUGCAACUAGAUUACAAUUCCACCGUGCUGCAUGUCAGACAAACAAUUUCACAGGCAUACGUAAAAUUGGUGCUACAAUUGUAGCUAAAACAUAAAAACAGUAACAGAAGUUGAUUACUACUUGUAAAAUUUCUCGUGACGUUACAUGUUACAUACAACAUAUAGUACUUGUAGUAAGAAGGAUAAACAGUAUCCUGUUCAAAAGAAAGCUUCAGUUUUGUCAAUAACCCUCCUUGUCUAACUGUAUCAUCUUAAUACCUGCCUAGAACAUGAAGUACCCAAAUUCCCCAAGCUAUUACUCUUGCAAAAGAAAGACAGAGCUACCUGCUUCAACAUUUUCUUGGAAUGUCUUGAAGACUCCUUUCAUAAGCCCCUAAAAUCAAUUUGAUUACUUCCUUUUGAUGGCUAAAAGUUGCUUUGUAGUCUACAACAAAACCAAGUCCGCAAUACAGCACCAAAAUUCCCUGAUACGAAAAGUUGUGAAAAAACCCUGUUCCAUAAUCUUGCUGCAAAAGAACAAGGAAGAGUUAGUCUGAGGCUCACCAUCAAUUCUUAAAUCUGGAAGCUGGAAACUAACAUUCUGGUAAAAACAUGUUUAAUGAACUGCAUGCUGUUUGUUUUGCCAUACAUAUAUAGGUGCAUCCCUUUUCAGCUUGGUAGAUCAUAUGCAAAGUAAUUGAUAUAACAGGACCAAAAGUUACAUAGAGAUUUGAGGCACCCAAAUAAAUUGGAAAAUGCGAUUAAUAAUCUGAUACUUUUCUUUGUUCACUUCCAGCCCAGAAUCAAGACUGCCUGUGUUUCAAAUGAAUUAACUGCCCCAAUUAUUUUCAUCUUGGGUUUAGACACAACUAGAAAAACUGUCCGCGCUCUGCUGCGGGGUUUCAAAGUAUAAUCGAUAAUAAUCAUGAAUAAUAUCCACAGAAAAAUUCACUCAAAAGGCAGCAUCAACAAAUAAUUGGAUGAACUACCCAAUUUUGAAAGUAAACGAUAUGAAUUCACAUAGAUCAAUUGUAACAUAUAUAGCAUAUACCAGAAAUCAUUUUAAUUAAUUUCCAGAGACCAAUUCCCUUUCUCAGGUUCCAACCUGAAAUGUAGUACUUGCAUACUCAAAACAAAAUAUAAAACAUUGGUUUCUCACAAUCAGCUUUGGGAAUACACACGCACUUUUCCACCACCCUGAGCAAUUAAAAAAUGGCAGAAGUAACCGACGAGGAACUGCUAAACAGAUGCCAUAUGUUAAUCCUAGCCAGCCAGACUUUUUCGAUAUUUUUCAGUCUGUUAAACAUCUUACCUGAUGACAACCUUUCUUCCUUUCCUCCAUAAAACAAAAGAGUAUUAUCCUAACUCUUCAUCUUUGUAUAUAAUAACUAUUUAGUAAAUGAUUUUUAAAGCAAAAUACUGAAAUGUCAUUGUACAUCUUUGAGAUGAUGCACGGUUGUUUCGUACUCAUCUGAACUAUAUUACAUAUACAUUCUUCAGAUAGACUUCCAUUGCUAGCAAGUCUUGCAUUCAGAAUUUCAAAGAUGCAAUCGAUAUGCAGAUCUUCAAAAUAAUACUUAAAAAAAUUAAGGAAUAACAAAACAGCAUUUGAGUUUCCAAGUCCCUUUGGACCAAACAUCUAAAGACGUGCUUAAUGUAAAAGAGAUUUUUCAGACCAACUUACAAAUACUUGGAUGAAGUAAUAAUCCCAAUUUUGGGAGUAAAGGAUAUCAAUUCACAUAGAACAAUUGUAACAUAUAUUGCAUAUACCAGAAAUCAUUUUAAUUAAUUUCCAGAGAGGGUUCAGGGUAUAUAGAAAUGGAAACAGUUGUUAACAAAUACUGUAGCUUCAACUGGAAUACUGAAAAAAAAUAAAGGAACAACAAACAGCAUUCGCGAUACAUCACAAAUGAAAGUAGCCUCUCACCGUGAGACUUCUUUUUCUCUAAACCAACUCUUCUCUCUUUUGGCCUCACUGAAAAUACAAAAAAGAUGAGAUUUUAGAAAUAUUUGGAAUCCAACGCAUACUAAACUUUGAUAACAGUAUACCUUAGUAUGCCUACUACACAUACUAUGACCGACUUCAUUUGUCAUUCCUUUCAAACCCCAAAUAGUAAAUUCGGGAAGACUUACCUUUCACUUCGUCAAUGGUGGCCAAACAAAAAUCCUAAACCUUGAUCUCUUCACAUUUCCAUGUCUCUCAACUGUGCACUGGAAGCUCAACACAGGAAUUGUAGGACCCCAUAUGUACUCUCUAUACGAAAGCUGGAUUGAACAGAGAUACACAAAUAAGGAUAACUCAGUAGGAAAACACAACAUUUUGGCUAAAGCGAAGUUGAGCAGAUAGAAUACAAAUAAGAAAAUUAUGGAUUUUAAAACAGCAAUUAUAAUUUGUUCAAAAUCGACUUCUGUCUCAAUUCCUUCCCAACAAUCAGGACUCUUCAAGCAGUAGUACAUUUCAGCCUAGCUGACAAUGAUAAAAAGUAUCCUUGCAUCAUUUCCCUUGUGCUUUCACUUUCGCGUUCUGUAAGUAGUAAUUGUUUGUACUCUUCUCUUUUGUACACCCUUAACAUAAUCAAAAUUAGAAGAUUUUUAGAUCAUUCAGGGGGCUUAUCAAAUUUUCUUUCUAUAUUAUGUCUUCUCAAAAAAAAAAUAUUUCACACAACAGAAAAAUGAUAAAAGCUAUACACUUUAUGAAACCAGAAGGUUCCUGAAG